UCGUGUUGUAAUAGUAGGAAUUGUGAAGUGAGUAGCUAAUGACUUUAUGGUACCAUCGUGUAUUUCCAUAAAGAUAACAAAAGCUCAGAAACUGAUUGACCUAGAAUGCACUGGCAUAUAAUACGAUGUCAUUUUGUCAGAAACAAUAUUAACUUAUUGCAUCUAAUGGUGAUUGUUCGGCCCGAAAUGAUCGUCAGAGCGUUUCGAAAUGUUUGCUUCUUAGAGUUUCGUAUUUCACCCAGUGUGGGUCGAUCCCAUAAACAUUUGAAUAUUUGUUCACGUAGAAACUAUUGUUUAUAUUGAGAUGUUUGGUGGUAUGUCAUUCAUACGUUUGCAAAGUGGCAUGAAACGAAGCACGUUAACUUGUGUAUAGUGCGUUUAGGUGUCCACGAAAUGUUAAAAGUACAAUUUAAACAACAACCUUUAACAUUACAUAUUGCUUAUUUAUCUAAGUACUUCUUCUAAACAAAUCUUUAACGAUACCUUUUCAUUUAGUAAUGUAUUUUGACUAACACACCGAUUCCUAUUCGGUUUAAUAUUGUUCAAGUGGGCAGAAAACUGUUACGCUCACAAGCUUCAUCCGAAACAGUUAGUAAGGAUUGUCUUUUCACUUGAAGCAAAUCUUCAUUAAAUUUUAGAAGAAUAGUUAACCCAUACACGUCCACGCGGGAGAUUUGACCGCGAUGAUGCAGUAUUUUAUUAAAAAGAGCGUUCUAGUUUCAUUCUUUCUAUAUUAUCACAUUAAUGGAGGUGAGUGAAUGUAGAAUUUUUAGAAGUUGUCAGAUCUUUGCUAUUAGUAACUUGGAUAGCAAGUAUAUUCAAUCAGUUUAAGUGAUGAAACUGAUAUCAAUUUUUGGUUAGUGUACUCGCAAAGUGUAAAUAGAGUGGGAAUUUAAAUAACAAUUUUAAUCACGUUAACUAGAAAGCACUUCAGAUUUUGAGUGAGGUAUAAACUACAGCAAACAAAAUCAAAAGUAAAGUCUUUUUAUUAAUGAAUAAUAUGCUAAGCUGCAUUUGGGAGACAGAGGGGAAGAUUGUCUGCGGAACGAAAAAAGAUUCCAAUGUUUUGCUGGUGAAAAUAAAACUUUAUGUGAAAGACAAGGAUGCUAUUCUUGCCCACACACAGGGAGGCCAAUAUGUAUAGAAGGUUUGAAUUUUAUUGUGUGAAUGUGUCGAUUUCAUUUUUAUGUAUUCAACUCAUGCAAAUUUGCCGACUGUUUAUAAGGUUUAGCAUGUAAAAGAACAUCACUUACCUACGAAGCUGACGAUUGUUGGGACGAAAUACUAGAACCUACAGUAGAAGGAUGCAUGGCUAAAAAAAGGUGCACGUGGUGCAGAACAAACGCUGUUAUCAGAUGUGUGCGAGGUUAGUGAUAAUUGGAGCCAUGGAAGUUAGAGUUUCAGAGACCUUAAAUAUAUCAAGAUCAAUUGCCUUUAACAAUUUGUAGCUUUUACUCAGUCGAAUAUGUCAUCAGGUCAUGGAUGCCAUAAAAUGUAAUCACGAAUUGACUUCAUUAGACUUUAAUGGUACUGAUUUGAAUUAAUGUGAAGCUUUAAACAAUAACAAAACAUUUUCUCAAUUCCAGAUAUACCUUUAUCUUAUGGCGGAGUUCGGCCAGGUAAUUAUCUGACAUUUUUUUUAAAUUUCAAUACUCCUAUUUUGUUUUCAAUCAAAAUUACUUUUUGAUCGUCAAUCGUCACCAGUGGAUAAUUGCAUUCAAACCGCGCCAACAGAAAGAGUUCGAUGCACCGCACCGGGAAAUUUUGAAUUGUGCAGAAAGAAGGGUUGUCACUUCUGUCAAAACGAAAAACCAAAAUGUAUCGAAGCCAAAGAAAAGGGGUCAAGUGUGGUGAGAUAUCUAGGAGAAGUUGAGAAUUUAUAUUGGUCCCUUUUCACUCUGCGAAGAAGUUUUCAAAAAUAAACCCGUCGAAACAAAUAACACAACUCGAAUUUGCGCUGGUUUUUUAGAAGGUGGAAGAGAUGCUUGUUAUGGAGACAGUGGCGGUCCUUUGGUGUGUCAAAAAUGCAAAAGCUGUGGCUGGUACAUUGCUGGUAUAGUCAGCACCGGUGUUGGUUGUGCAAGACCGCUUACUCCUGCACUAUAUACAAAAGUCCAGGCGUAAUAGAAAAGGUCUAAUUGAAAAUGGAGUGCCCGACAAGAGAGAGAGUCAUGAUUGCAAAUUCUACUGAUUGUAUAUUAAUAUGUUUUGUAUGAAAUUGUACGGCAGCUUUUACUAAAAAUCAAAGAACUUACAUUGCAUUUUGAUCAAGUGUAUAUUGGGUCAAUCAGUCUCAAUCUAAGCUGUUCUUGUCUGUAUGAGGAUACGACAUAAUAACAUAAGCGUGACCAUUAGCUACUGAAUUCUAAAUUCAAAUCUACAAAUGUUUCAAAGAAUAACUUUGCUUUUACUAACCUAAAAUACUAUAAAAAAGGCGGCGCAAUGCCCCGCCAAUUGUCCAAGUAGUAAAAAAAAUAUAGUUUUAAAUAGAUCUGAUGAAACGUCUAUUUAUCAUUUUUGUUAUCCGUUUUCGUCUUUAAAAACAGAUUAUGAUCGAUCUACUGGAUUUGGCUUGUCAGCAGUUUUUCAUUCUAAAAGCCUGAUUUACCCCUUUUGUACGCUUCUGCUCAU
Non-coding RNA from Styela clava, 2631 nucleotides. Lineage: Eukaryota; Metazoa; Chordata; Ascidiacea; Stolidobranchia; Styelidae. The record is from RefSeq and is a predicted model, not a curated record.